AACGUAGGAGACGAACGUUAUCCGGAGUUACUGGGCGUAAAGGGCGUGCAGGCGGCUUGAUAAGUUCGGCGUGAAAUUUCCCGGCUUAACCGGGGGAUGUCGUCGGAGACUGUCGAGCUAGAGGGUGAUAGAGGCGUGUGGAAUUCCGCGUGUAGCAGUGAAAUGCGUAGAUAUGCGGAGGAACACCGAUGGCGAAGGCAAUCCCCUGGGCCUGCACUGACGCUCAUGCACGAAAGCGUGGGGAGCAAACAGG
This 253-nucleotide ribosomal RNA is filed under the name uncultured bacterium. RNAcentral's name for it is "partial 16S ribosomal RNA". It matches the Rfam family "Bacterial small subunit ribosomal RNA", at positions 524 to 776 of the family's 1533-position model. The record is from RNAcentral.